AUAACCAGACAUUGAAAUAUAUUACAAGGUUGAUACUGUUAGAUGACAGGGUAUUUUCCUCAUCUAUUUGUUAUGCUGGGCUAAAAGAUAUUUGCUUUGCUAUUCCCAGAAUUUUGAAUGGUGGUGCUUUGGAAACUGGGGGUUGAUAAACUAAGUUCACAUCAUUCAUUGAUGUUGGCGAAUACCAUGGAACAGAAGCUAAAUUUCUCAGAAACUGAAUUUCCAUUCUUUGUUCUCACUAUUUCUCUUAUCAUUUUAUAUAAUUAAUUGCAGUAAAAAAUAAAUGUUGUCUUGUUGUAUGAGUAUA
This is a long non-coding RNA of Octopus bimaculoides (California two-spot octopus), 307 nucleotides long. NCBI's taxonomy places the organism in Eukaryota, Metazoa, Mollusca, Cephalopoda, Octopoda, Octopodidae. The record is from RefSeq and is a predicted model, not a curated record.